GCUGGCGGUGCGCCUUAUGCAUGCAAGUCGAGCGAAGCUUUUCAGUAGUUUACUACAGAAAAUGACUGAGCGGCGAACGGGUGAGUAACGCGUGAGCAAUCUACCUUAGUUACAGGGAUAGCCCGAGGAAACUCGGAUUAAUACCUGAUAUUCUUUUUAUCUCGCAUGAGAUUUUAAGGAAAGGUCAGCCGAACUAAGAUGAGCUCGCGUUCUAUCAGCUAGUUGGUGAGGUAAUAGCUCACCAAGGCUACGACGGAUAGCUGGUCUGAGAGGACGAUCAGCCACACUGGGACUGAGACACGGCCCAGACUCCUACGGGAGGCUGCAGCAGGGAAUAUUGCGCAAUGAGCGAAAGCUUGACGCAGCGACACCGCGUGUGGGAUGACGGAUCUAGGUUUGUAAACCACUUUCAGGAGGGAAGAAAAUGACGGUACCUCCACAAGAAGCCCCGGCCAACUACGUGCCAGCAGCCGCGGUAAUACGUAGGGGGCGAGCGUUGUCCGGAUUUAUUGGGCGUAAAGAGCUCGUAGGCGGUUCAACAAGUCGGUCGUGAAAGUUCA
This 560-nucleotide ribosomal RNA is filed under the name uncultured bacterium. RNAcentral's name for it is "bacterial SSU rRNA". It matches the Rfam family "Bacterial small subunit ribosomal RNA", at positions 35 to 604 of the family's 1533-position model. The record is from RNAcentral.